Molecule: transfer RNA, 56 nt
Filed under: Diaphanoeca grandis
Lineage: Eukaryota; Choanoflagellata; Acanthoecida; Stephanoecidae
Source: RNAcentral
CACUGCAUAUCGUUGUGCAUACCCCUAUGGCCACGAAUCACUCCAAAUGGUCCUUA